CUGGAUGAGGCUGUGGAUGCGGGAGAAUCGGACGGGAAACCUAAGAUCUGGGACUCGGAUGAUUGCGAAUCCGGGAGAGCUGGACGCACGGAAUGAUCACAGUGCCUUGGACGCAGGAAUAUGAGAUCUGGAAGGCUUCACGGACGGCUGGGAGGUGCAUGAGACGGGCAGAUGAAAUCUGGAUGAGCGGAAGCGAGCUAAUCACGGGAGAUUCACAUGCGGACGCGAGGACCUGAGAUUCCGGAAGAUUGCGAUCGCCUGGGUGAUCUGAUCGUGGAUCUUGAAGCAAGGGAUGCGGAAGGGAAGAUCGGGACUUUGCUGGGAGGUUGCACGGACGCGGAAUGAUGGGCUGCACGCGGACGCUGGGAGAAGCUGGGAGACGCGUGAGGCGGGCGGACGCUUGGAGACGCUAGGAUUCAGAUGAUGCGUUGGAUGGUCACCGAGCUGAAGAUGAAGCUUGGAGUGAUGUGGAUCACUCACGGGUUAGGCGGACGACUGGAAGCUGAGACUUGGGAUGCUGGAUGCUUCGUGGACGCACGGGAGAAAGACCUGAUCGCGGGUUUCAAGAGCGAGAAAGGCUGAUCACGGCAUGAUUCGAUCACGGAUCCUGAGACGCGGACGGGUCUUGACAGGGCUGAUGUGGCUCACGGACGCGGCAAGGAUGCUGAGGUGCUUGCGAACGGCUAAAUCUGGGCUCUGUUCUGCAGCUGGGAAGAGAUGAAUUUAUAUAAUGAUAAAAAUUAUAAUAAGUGCUAAGGAUAAAA
Molecule: long non-coding RNA, 764 nt
Filed under: Phoenix dactylifera (date palm)
Lineage: Eukaryota; Viridiplantae; Streptophyta; Magnoliopsida; Arecales; Arecaceae
Description: long non-coding RNA (PDAC_LNC009170)
Source: RNAcentral